This 67-nucleotide transfer RNA is filed under the name Chloroflexota bacterium. RNAcentral describes it as "Chloroflexi bacterium tRNA-Gly". It matches the Rfam family "tRNA". From Rfam's summary of the family: Transfer RNA (tRNA) molecules are approximately 80 nucleotides in length. Their secondary structure includes four short double-helical elements and three loops (D, anti-codon, and T loops). Lineage: Bacteria; Bacillati; Chloroflexota. The record is from RNAcentral.
GCGUGCGUGGCGGAGCAUUUUCUUCCCAAGUAGAGAGCCGUAGGUUCGAGUCCCAUCGCCCGCGCCA